RNAcentral lists this long non-coding RNA (217 nucleotides) under Mytilus galloprovincialis (Mediterranean mussel). Lineage: Eukaryota; Metazoa; Mollusca; Bivalvia; Mytilida; Mytilidae. The record is from RNAcentral.
GGGGCGUAGCUACCCGGAGGCACGACAGCACGUGCAUCCACGUCGUUUUCACAAAAAAAAAAAAAAAAAAAAAGCAGAAGAGAGAGAGAUGAGUUGGUCAAUCGAAUCGGGAGACUGUUGGUGUCUUUCCGUCUAUCCCGGAUAUUAGUUUGACAACCUAGUUACAAGUGUUGAUGAAGCUGUUCAUUCAGAAAAAGAUCGUAGCUCCGAAGUUGCG